UAAGCAUAUCAAUAAGCGGAGGAAAAGAAACUAACAAGGAUUCCCCUAGUAACUGCGAGUGAAGCGGGAAAAGCUCAAAUUUAAAAUCUGGCAGUCUCUGGCUGUCCGAGUUGUAAUCUAGAGAAGUGUUAUCCACGCUGGACCGUGUACAAGUCUCCUGGAAUGGAGCGUCAUAGAGGGUGAGAAUCCCGUCUUUGACACGGACCCCCAGGGUUUUGUGAUGCGCUCUCAAAGAGUCGAGUUGUUUGGGAAUGCAGCUCAAAAUGGGUGGUAAAUUCCAUCUAAAGCUAAAUAUUGGCGAGAGACCGAUAGCGAACAAGUACCGUGAGGGAAAGAUGAAAAGAACUUUGGAAAGAGAGUUAAACAGUACGUGAAAUUGUUGAAAGGGAAACGCUUGAAGUCAGUCACAUUGGCCAGGGAUCAGCCUAUGCAUCUUUGCUUGGUGUACUUCCUGGUUGAUGGGUCAGCAUCAAUUUUGAUCAGUGGAUAAAGUCUGAGGGAAUGUGGCAUCUUCGGAUGUGUUUAUAGCCCUUGGUCGCAUACAUUGGUUGGGAUUGAGGAACUCAGCACGCCGCAAGGCCGGGUUUUCGAACCACGUUCGUGCUUAGGAUGCUGGCAUAAUGGCUUUAAUCGACCCGUCUUGAAACACGGACCAAGGAGUCUAACAUGCCUGCGAGUGUUGGGGUGGA
Molecule: ribosomal RNA, 689 nt
Filed under: Bonomyces arnoldii
Lineage: Eukaryota; Fungi; Basidiomycota; Agaricomycetes; Agaricales; Biannulariaceae
Description: LSU rRNA
Rfam family: Eukaryotic large subunit ribosomal RNA
Source: RNAcentral